CUCCUACGGGACGCAGCAGUGGGGAAUAUUGCACAAUGGGGGAAACCCUGAUGCAGCGACGCCGCGUGAGUGAAGAAGUAUUUCGGUACGUAAAGCUCUAUCAGCAGGGAAGAAAAAAAGUCCUUUGGACUUUGGACGGUACCUGACUAAGAAGCACCGGCUAACUCCGUGCCAGCAGCCGCGGUAAUACGGAGGGUGCGAGCGUUAAUCGGAAUUACUGGGCGUAAAGCGCUCGUAGGCGGUAUGUCAAGUCAAGGGUGAAAUCCCCGCGCUCAACGUGGGAACUGCCUUUGAAACUGGCAAAC
RNAcentral lists this ribosomal RNA (305 nucleotides) under uncultured bacterium. Its description in RNAcentral is "bacterial SSU rRNA". It matches the Rfam family "Bacterial small subunit ribosomal RNA", at positions 336 to 641 of the family's 1533-position model. The record is from RNAcentral.